This 190-nucleotide ribosomal RNA is filed under the name uncultured bacterium. Its description in RNAcentral is "partial 16S ribosomal RNA". It matches the Rfam family "Bacterial small subunit ribosomal RNA", at positions 338 to 524 of the family's 1533-position model. The record is from RNAcentral.
CCUACGGGAGGCAGCAGUGGGGAAUAUUGCACAAUGGGCGCAAGCCUGAUGCAGCGACGCCGCGUGGGGGAUGACGGCCUUCGGGUUGUAAACUCCUUUCGUUAGGGACGAAGCCGCACCUGUUUUGGGUGUGGUGACGGUACCUUUGUUAAGAAGCACCGGCUAACUACGUGCCAGCAGCCGCGGUAAU